Nymphaea colorata (pocket water lily) is the source of this 2273-nucleotide long non-coding RNA. RefSeq lists it as uncharacterized. Lineage: Eukaryota; Viridiplantae; Streptophyta; Magnoliopsida; Nymphaeales; Nymphaeaceae. The record is from RefSeq and is a predicted model, not a curated record. The transcript has 3 exons.
AUAAGCUCCAUGCUUUUUUCUCGUCAGCGGAGCCUUUAUGCUUUUAAGAUGGAACAGGCCUGUAUUCCACCGAUUCUUUUUCUUUUGUUUAUGCCUUUGGAUUCCAUGUUGCCUUUUGAUUGCACCAUCUAGCGUGGUGGACAUGAUGGUGGUAGUGACGGUGAUUGGCAGUAAUGCCGGCCACGGCGGUAGAUGUGGUGGUGGUGGCGGUGGUGGUGGCGAUGGCAGACAGGUGGUAACCGGCAACUGUGCUUGAUGUAGCAUGGAUGAUAAUGCAGGUAGUCGUGGCGACGACAAAAAGUAUCUUUGAUCUCAUGUGCUUCUUCUUCCUGCAGAAGAAAAAUCCUGUUCAUGCCUUCAUCAUCGGUAAAACAUGGAAUAUGAUUCCUCCAUACGAAAAAGCACAUUGCCAUGCUCAGGUCCUGGACUGUCGACCAAUGGUUUGUGGAGAUGCAGGAGAAAGGUAGGCAGACCAUUGCCAGUUGAAUUUUAGGAGAUGCGUCUAUACAUUGAACUCAUUGGCAUUGAAUUACGGCUUUCUUUGCUGAUACUGAUGCAGUUCUGAACACUAGAUGCAGAGAAAGAUGCAGGAGAAAUAGGGGGGCCUUGGGUUCUUUGCUGAGAACUGGGUUGCAUUCCUCUCACUCACUCGAAAAAGAUGGCAACUGUCCAUAAUAACCGCCAUGAGUAGUUGCUUCUACGGUGGGAAGCCCGAAGGCUUAAGACACAUAUUGUUUCCUGACAUUGAUUAGGAUGUGUCCGGAUUUUCAUAGGAAUUCUGGAGAACAGCUUUUGGGGGUAGGCUUCUUGCCUUUAUCAAGCAAAAAUGGGGUAAGUAUAUACAUCAAGAAAUGCAAAAUAUCCCACUCUCUUGCUCUGGAAACAGAAAAGGUUGGAUGCAACUUCCUUUGGGGUGAUUAUGAGAAUGUCUAUGAAUUUCAUUUAAUUAGUUGGUCUAAUCAGUAUUCCCCUUUGGAGAUUGAAAAAUUUGUCCCACUGAGCAAAGCAUAAAUGAUCUACUUGUCCGAUAGAGCAUGGACAGAAGUGAACCGUGCGCAGAUUUUAUAAGAAGCACUUAAGAUCUCAAAUUACUUUUGGUCUUGGAAAGGAAUGUUGCGGGAUGGGAAGAUUGGGAGUGAUUUGAUUUCUCGAAAGACUGGAAAAUAGUAAGCUUGGGGUUGGGGCAUCCGGCUUUGUGCUCCGAAUGGUCUCGAUUUGAAGACCCAUGCCUCUUGUCGAUCAGCGUCAAUUUCCCAUAUUCCAAUCGCCGUCCGAUCCUUGGAAUGCCCCCUGUUGUUGCUCGUGUUUCUCUUGAAGGGUCCAAGAACACGGUGAUGCGGGCGGGUUUAAGAGGGCGAAAGACAUUACUAGAAGUGAGAGAGAUGUUCAGAUGGUGGUGCGCAAAUGUCUGCUCAGACAUUUGGAGCGGUCCUAAAAGGCAUCGUUUUCAUCUCAUACUGGGCGAAAGCUGUAAAGGGGGAAUGAACAGGCUUGAGUUCUGACCCUUGGCUGCCUUCGAUGAAAAUUGAGUUUAUAGCUUCAGUUUCAUCCAUUUAUAGUGCACGGAAGGUUAGUAGGGAAGAAGGAAAGGAGGCUUUCCUGAAGGUGGAGAUGUCCUUCCUUAAUUCGGAUUUCCUCUGGGCUGAAUUUGUUACGUCGCAAUCCAUCCAGUUGAUUACCACAUCCGAAGCAUUUUGGGCUUUUUUAGUGCGCAUUGUGGACUCCUGGCACUAGAGAACCGUUACGCAGAGGGUUUAGAGGUUGUUUCUCAGCGGUAAUGGGAUGUUUUUAUUCCAUGUAUCUGCCCCAAAAUUGAUUGAGGCAGAUACCUUAAAUACAGAAUUGUCCCAUCAAUCUGCCCAGAUUGAUGAACCAAUGCCUCGCAUCUAACAUCGCUUACUUUCACCCUAUCAGUACUCCGUUUUGGAGGACAAGCGCUGCCAUUAUCAUCGCCUAGACUUGACGGCCUUCAUUUUCCGGUUGCCGGCUUACCUCAUUAUCAGCCUUCAGGUCAGGCUUGCUGGUUUAUCGGCUUCAUGGAGGAGAAUCCUUCCCUUCGAGUUCUUGAGUACUAAAAAGUUCGUGCGUCAACACCAAGAAAGGGACUCGAUUUUUUCUUUUAUGGCAUGGGCUUCAUCGGUUCGCAUGUGGGGAGAUGGCGAUCUUCUUCAACAAAGCUGAAUAUCAUGAUACCGAUGUCUUCAGUCGCAUGUUUCCGACGCUGCACAACUGGAAUCCCUUUUCAAGGAAUGUAAUUGGUAAAAUGGAUUUAG